Molecule: long non-coding RNA, 342 nt
Organism: Mastomys coucha (southern multimammate mouse)
Lineage: Eukaryota; Metazoa; Chordata; Mammalia; Rodentia; Muridae
Exons: 3
Source: RefSeq, a predicted model, not a curated record
GGACAGGGCUCAACUUGGUACUCUUGAAAGAUAUUUUGGAUGCAUAAUGACUGGAACUUACAUACACUUAAGGCUUUGGAUGUCCUGAUGCUAACAAGCUCCACAGAGGCUGUGCAGGCUGGUUUUAUAUCAACUAGAUACAAUCGAAAGUCAUCGAGAGGGAAGAGCAUCAAUUAAAAUCCCUCUAUAAGAUGUGUCAGGGAAGCUACACCCAGGAAGACUCAUGUACGUGCCCUGAAGAGGGAUGGCACCAAUAGAAGUGAUAACACAAAAAGGGGUAAGUCUCACGGGGCCGCAACCCUAGACAAAGAACUGCAUGCAACUAAGGCAUUCUGGGAGCAG